AUUAAACUUGAGAUUUGGGUGUUGGUUGAACUUGAGUUUGUGUCGUGUUUGAACUUGAGUUUGUUGUGUUUUUGAACUUGAGUUUGUGUGUUUCUUGAACUUAAGUUUGUUGAACUUGAGUUUGUGGCAAUUGUUGAACUUGCGUCUGUGGUUUUUAGUGAACUUUAGUUUGUGGCAAUUGUUGAACUUGAGUUUGUGGCGUUUGUUGAACUUGAGUUUGUGUCGUGUUUUAACUUGAGUUUGUGGUGCUUUUGAACUUGAAUUUGUGGUGUUUUUGAACUUGAGGGUGUGAAAUUUGUUAAACUUAAUAAUUGGGUAUUGGUUGAACUUGAGUUUCUGUGUUUGUUGAACUUGAGUUUGUGUUGUCUUUGAACUUGAGUUUGUGUGUUGGUUGAACUUGAGUUUGUGUCGUGUUUGAACUUGAGCUUGUUUUGUUUGUUGAACUUGAGUUUGUGUGUUGGUUGAACUUGAGUUUGUGUGUUUGUUGAACUUGAGUUUGUGUUGUGUUUGAACUUGAGUUUGUGGUGUUUUUGAACUUGAGUUUGUUUCGUGUUUGAACUCGAGUUUUUGGCGUUUGUUGAACUUGAGUUUGUGUGUUUGUUGAACUUGAGGUUAUGGCAAUUGUUAAACUUGAGAUUUUGGUGUUGGUUGAACUUGAGUUUGUGUCGUGUUUGAACUGAGUUUGUUUUGUUUUUGAACUUGAGUUUGUUUCGUGUUUGAACUCGAGUUUUUGGCGUUUGUUGAACUUGAGUUUGUGUGUUUGUUGAACUUGAGGUUAUGGCAAUUAUUAAACUUGAGAUUUGGGUGUUGGUUGAACUUGAGUUUGUGUGUUUGUUGAACUUGAGUUUGUGUUGUGUUUGAACUUGAGUUUGUGGUGUUUUUGAACUUGAGUUUGUUUCGUGUUUGAACUCGAGUUUUUGGCGUUUGUUGAACUUGAGUUUGUGUGUUUGUUGAACUUGAGGUUAUGGCAAUUAUUAAACUUGAGAUUUGGGUGUUGGUUGAACUUGAGUUUGUGUCGUGUUUGAACUUGAGUUUGUGGUGUUUGUUGAACUUGAGUCUGUGGUUUUAAGUGAACUUUACUUGAUGGCAAUUGUUGAACUUGAGUUUGUGGGGUUUGUUGAAUUUGAGUUUGUGUCAUGUUUGAACUUGAGUUUCUGGUGUGUUUGAACUUGAGUCUGUGUUGUUUUUGAAUUUGAGGUUGUGGAAAUUGUUAAACUUGAGAAUUGGGCGUUGGUUGAACUUGAGUUUGUGUUGUGUUUGAACUUGAGUUUGUGUCGUGUUUGAACUUGAGUUUGUGGUGUUUUUGAACUUGAGUUUGUGGUGUUUUUGAACUUGUGUUUUUGAACUUGAGUUUUGUGUCGUGUUUUUGAACUUGAGUUUAUGUGUUGGUUUGAGUUUGUGUCGUGUUUGAACUUGAGUUUGUGUUGUUUGUUGAACUUGAGUUUUUUUUGUUGAACUUGAGUUUGUGGCAAUUGUUGAACUUGCGUCUGUGGUUUUUUGUGAUUUUUAAUUUGUGUCAAUUGUUGAACUUGAGUUUGUGUUGUUUUUGAACUUGAGCUUGUUUCGUGUUUGAACUUGAGUUUGUGGAUAUUAUUAAACUUGAGAUUUGGGUGUUGGUUGAACUUGAGAUUUGGGUGUUGGUUGAAGUUGAGGUUGUUGUGUUUUUGAACUUGAGUUUGUGUGUUUUUUGAACUUAAGUUUGUUGAACUUGAGUUUGUGGCAAUUGUUGAACUUGAGUCUGUGUUUUUUAGUGAACUUUACUUGAUGGCAAUUGUUGAAAUUGAGUUUGUGGGGUUUGUUGAACUUGAGUUUGUGUUGUUUUUGAAGUUGAGGUUGUGGAAAUUGUUAAACUUGAGAAUUGGGCGUUGGUUGAACUUGAGUUUGUGUUGUGUUUGAACUUGAGUUUGUUGUGUGUUUGAACUUGAGUUUGUUUGUUUGAUGAACUUUAGGUUGUGGCAAUUGUUAAACUUGAGAUUUGGGUGUUGGUUAAAUUUGAGUUUUUGUUGUGUUUGAACUUGAGUUCGUGUGUUUUUUGAAAUUAGGGUUGUGAAAAUUAGUGAACUUUAAUUUGUGGCAAUUGUGGAACUUGAGUUUGUGGCGUUUGUUGAACUUGAGUUUGUGUCGUGUUUGAACUUGAGUUUGUGGUGUUUUUGAACUUGAGUUUGUAGUGUGUUUGAACUUGAGUUUUAUGUGUUGGUUGAACUUGAGUUUGUGUCGUGUUUGAACUUGAGUUUGUGUGUUUUUUGAACUUAAGUUUGUUGAACUUUAGUUUGUGGCAAUUUUUGAACUUGAGUUUGUGUCAUGUUUGAACUUGAGGGUGUGGAAUUUUUUAAACUUAAUAAUUGGGUAUUGGUUGAACUUGAGUUUCUGUGUUUGUUGAACUUGAGUUUGUGUCGUGUUUGAAAUUGAGUUUGUGUUUUUUUGAACUUGGGUUUGUGUUGUGUUUGAACUUGAGUUUGUGGUGUUUUUGAACUUGAGUUUGUUUCGAGUUUGAACUUGAGUUUGUGGCGUUUGUUGAACUUGAGUUUGUGUGUUUGUUGAACUUGAGGUUGUGGCAAUUGUUAAACUUGAGAUUUGGGUGUUGGUUGAACUUGAGUUUGUGUCGUGUUUGAACUUGAGUUUGUUGUAUUUUUGAACUUGAAUUUGCGUGUUUGGUGAACUUGAGUUUGUGUGUUUGUUGAACCUGAGUUUGUGUUGUGUUUGAACUUGAGUUUGUGGUGUUUGUUGAACUUGAGUUUGUGGUGUUUUUGAACUUAAGUUUGUAGUGUGUUUGAACUUGAGUUUUAUGUGUUGGUUGAACUUGAGUUUGUGUCGUGUUUGAACUUGAGUUUGUGUGUUUUUUGAACUUAAGUUUGUUGAACUUUAGUUUGUGGCAAUUGUUGAACUUGAGUUUGUGUCAUGUUUGAACUUGAGGGUGUGGAAUUUUUUAAACUUAAUAAUUUGGUAUUGGUUACACUUGAGUUUCUGUGUUUGUUGAACUUGAGUUUGUGUCGUGUUUGAAAUUGAGUUUGUGUUUUUGUUGAACUUGAGUUUGUGUUGUGUUUGAACUUGAGUUUGUGGUGUUUUUGAACUUGAGUUUGUUUCGUGUUUGUACUUGAGUUUGUGGCGUUUGUUGAACUUGAGUUUGUGUCGUGUUUGAAAUUGAGUUUGUGUUUUUGUUGAACCUGAGUUUGUGUUGUGUUUGAACUUGAGUUUGUGGUGUUUGUUGAACUUGAGUUUGUGUUGUGUUUGAACUUGAGUUUGUGGUGUUUGUUGAACUUGAGUUUGUGGUGUUUUUGAACUUGAGUUUGUGGUGUUUUUGAACUUGAGUUUGUGUCGUGUUUGAACUUGAGUUUGUGUCGUGUUUGAAAUUGAGUUUGUGUGUUUGUUGAACUUGAGUUUGUGUUGUGUUUGAACUUGAGUUUGUGGUGUUUUUGACCUUGAGUAUUUUUCGUGUUUGAACUUGAGGUUGUGACAAUUGUUAAACUUAAGAUUUGGGUGGUGGUUGAACUUGAGUUUGUUGUGUUUUUGAACUUGAGUUUGUGUGUUUUUUGAACUUAAUUUUUUUGAACUUGAGUUUGUGGCAAUUGUUGAACUUGCGUCUGUGGUUUUUAGUGAACUUUAAUUUGUGGCAAUUGUUGAACUUGAGUUUGUGGCGUUUGUUGAACUUGAGUUUGUGUCGUGUUUGAACUUGAGUUUGUGGUGUUUUUGAACUUGAGUUUGUAGUGUGUUUGAACUUGAGUUUUAUGUGUUGGUUGAACUUGAGUUUGUGUCGUGUUUGAACUUGAGUUUGUGUGUUUUUUGAACUUAAGUUUGUUGAACUUUAGUCUGUGGCAAUUGUUGAACUUGAGUUUGUGUCAUGUUUGAACUUGAGGGUGUGGAAUUUUUUAAACUUAAUAAUUUGGUAUUGGUU
Molecule: long non-coding RNA, 3892 nt
Filed under: Xyrichtys novacula (pearly razorfish)
Lineage: Eukaryota; Metazoa; Chordata; Actinopteri; Labriformes; Labridae
Source: RNAcentral